Molecule: ribosomal RNA, 253 nt
Filed under: uncultured bacterium
Lineage: Bacteria
Description: partial 16S ribosomal RNA
Rfam family: Bacterial small subunit ribosomal RNA
Source: RNAcentral
UACGAAGGGGGCUAGCGUUGCUCGGAUUGACUGGGCGUAAAGGGCGCGUAGGCGGUUCGUACAGUCAGACGUGAAAUUCCUGGGCUCAACCUGGGGGCUGCGUUUGAUACGUGCGGACUUGAGUGCGGAAGAGGGUCGUGGAAUUCCCAGUGUAGAGGUGAAAUUCGUAGAUAUUCGCAAGAACACCAGCGGCGGAGGCGGCUCACUGGCCCGAUACUGACGCUGAGGCACGAAAGCGUGGGGAGCAAACAGG